This 449-nucleotide ribosomal RNA is filed under the name uncultured bacterium. RNAcentral's name for it is "partial 16S ribosomal RNA". It matches the Rfam family "Bacterial small subunit ribosomal RNA", at positions 330 to 795 of the family's 1533-position model. The record is from RNAcentral.
UCCAGACUCCUACGGGAGGCAGCAGUGGGGGAUAUUGCACAAUGGGGGGAACCCUGAUGCAGCGACGCCGCGUGGGUGAAGGAGCGUUUCGGCGCGUAAAGCCCUAUCGGCAGGGAAGAAGGAGGACGGUACCUGACUAAGAAGCCCCGGCUAACUACGUGCCAGCAGCCGCGGUAAUACGUAGGGGGCAAGCGUUAUCCGGAUUUACUGGGUGUAAAGGGGGCGCAGACGGCAGCGCAAGCCAGGAGUGAAAGCCCGGGGCCCAACCCCGGGACUGCUCUUGGAACUGCGCGGCUGGAGUGCAGGAGGGGCAGGCGGAAUUCCUGGUGUAGCGGUGAAAUGCGUAGAUAUCAGGAGGAACACCGGUGGCGAAGGCGGCCUGCUGGACUGCGACUGACGUUGAGGCCCGAAAGCGUGGGGAGCAAACAGGAUUAGAUACCCGCGUACAU